This 95-nucleotide signal recognition particle RNA is filed under the name Pseudomonadota bacterium. RNAcentral describes it as "signal recognition particle sRNA small type". It matches the Rfam family "Bacterial small signal recognition particle RNA". From Rfam's summary of the family: The signal recognition particle (SRP) is a universally conserved ribonucleoprotein involved in the co-translational targeting of proteins to membranes. Archaeal SRP consists of a 7S RNA and homologues of the eukaryotic SRP19 and SRP54 proteins. In most bacteria, the SRP consists of a 4.5S RNA and the Ffh protein (a homologue of the eukaryotic SRP54 protein). Lineage: Bacteria; Pseudomonadati; Pseudomonadota. The record is from RNAcentral.
CGAGGCUGAUGGCGGGCGGGGUGUCCGUAAACCCGGUCAGGUCCGAGAGGAAGCAGCCGUAGCGGGUGCGCUCCGGGUCGCCAUCAGUCCAUGUC